AUGGUUGUUUGAGUCCAAUGAAUUUUGUUGCGCAAGGAAUUGUUUCCAAGAAAAUAAAAUAGUGGAGUUAAUCAAAUAAGACAAAAGGACUUCUAUAAAAAAAAAUUACUUGAUAUUAAAAUAUUGUAUCAUUGUAUGUCUGAUUUUGAUUGCUAUUUUGGAUAAUCCAGGUCCUCAACUUCUGGAGUUGAUAAGAAACAGAAUAGAACAUAUGCUUGAGUUUUUUGAUACAACAGGUUUCAAAUGUCAACAGAGGCAAGGAGCUGCAGACUUCUUGCAACAAGUAACAUCAAAACAAGAUGAGAAGCAAUACUAGCACCUUACAGAUAUGUUACAA
This is a long non-coding RNA of Daucus carota subsp. sativus, 337 nucleotides long. RefSeq lists it as uncharacterized. NCBI's taxonomy places the organism in Eukaryota, Viridiplantae, Streptophyta, Magnoliopsida, Apiales, Apiaceae. The record is from RefSeq and is a predicted model, not a curated record. The transcript is spliced from 2 exons.